CCCCUCUCAGGGUCGCACCUGGAGGGUUUCCAGAACUCUACCAGUCUUGGCUACAGGAAGGAGAGUCAAGCAGAGGCCUACCCAUUCAAUUCUUAGCUUAGGUAGUGGCUAGAGAAUGGAAGACAAUCUGCUACAAGU
This 138-nucleotide small nucleolar RNA is filed under the name Ornithorhynchus anatinus (platypus). The record is from RNAcentral. Lineage: Eukaryota; Metazoa; Chordata; Mammalia; Monotremata; Ornithorhynchidae.